Molecule: transfer RNA, 73 nt
Filed under: Streptomyces mutabilis
Lineage: Bacteria; Bacillati; Actinomycetota; Actinomycetes; Kitasatosporales; Streptomycetaceae
Source: RNAcentral
CUUCACCAUCACCGUCGAAGAGGGCGUGGAGGGCGACCGCCACACCUGCGGCACCACCUACGCCGGCCUCGCC